This 338-nucleotide long non-coding RNA is filed under the name Salmo salar (Atlantic salmon). RNAcentral describes it as "lncRNA (ENSSSAG00000106384.1)". Lineage: Eukaryota; Metazoa; Chordata; Actinopteri; Salmoniformes; Salmonidae. The record is from RNAcentral.
GUAAGAGUUGAGCUACCGCGGAGGACAGUGGGUUGGGUUAUCAUGGUAAGAGUUUAGCUACCGGCUUGGACAGUGGGUUGGGUUAUCAUGGUAAGAGUUUAGCUACCUUGAGGACAGUAGGCUGGGUUAUCAUGGUAAGAGUUGAACUACCGGCGAGGACAGUGGGUUGGGUUAUCAAGGUAAGAGUUGAGCUACCGGCGAGGACAGUGGGUUGGGUUAUCAAGGUAAGAGUUGAGCUACCUUGAGGACAGUAGGGGCACAGCACUGGUAUGAGAAGAGAUGUAAUACAGACAUGCAGCAGAACAGACUAGCUAUGGCUGGGCUACAUCUCAAUGACC